UCAUGGUUCUGAUUGAGCCUGAUCCGAAAACGAAACAGAUCGAAUAGACGGAAGCACCCCACGGAUCGGUGCUCGUACUGUGGAUUGAUGUCUGAAUACAAAUUUCAGGACAACUACUCGGAAAGUUUCAACCCCCCGCUGGAUUCAGUUGAACGCUGAUUUAUCAUUGACUCCAUCCGAAAUGGCUACAUUUUUGUAUCUGCCGGGAAUCGCCCUCUCCGUUCUGUGCCUCUUGGGAAUCCACUUGUCGCCCACUGAAGCCCUCCCCACGUUUAAAGUUUGUAACGUGGAUGAUUUCUACGCCGCUAUGGAACAAGCUUGUGCUUACCCUCCGAUCGCCACCUCGAGAAGUGAUCGAGUAGCACUGACGUUGGAUCAAUUUGCAGAGAAGUGCUGCGCAAGGAAGUGUUCAAUAAGAAUGUUCCUCCAUCUUUGUGAAUAUCCCGAUAAGAGGUCCAUCUUGGUUAGACCAAGGAACUCAUGAAGCGUUUUCCAUAUUCAAACUGUUAUACGCCCACCACGGUUCUAUUGAAUCGAGUCAUGACACCACAUAUUGAAUGUUCUCCUAUUUAAAGCAUGGUUCACGUAUCUUGACAGAAACGAAAUAGCUUCUGUAUAUGCGCAAAUAAAACCAUCGACCGGAAACU
Molecule: long non-coding RNA, 647 nt
Organism: Galendromus occidentalis (western predatory mite)
Lineage: Eukaryota; Metazoa; Arthropoda; Arachnida; Mesostigmata; Phytoseiidae
Exons: 3
Source: RefSeq, a predicted model, not a curated record